ACAGAGGGUGCAAGCGUUGUUCGGAAUUAUUGGGCGUAAAGCGCGUGUAGGCGGCGUGGCAAGUCGGGUGUGAAAGCCCUCAGCUCAACUGAGGAAGUGCGCCCGAAACUGCUGUGCUUGAGUGCCGGAGAGGGUGGCGGAAUUCCCCAAGUAGAGGUGAAAUUCGUAGAUAUGGGGAGGAACACCGGUGGCGAAGGCGACCAUCUGGACGGAUACUGACGCUGAGACGCGAAAGCGUGGGUAGCAAACAGGA
This 253-nucleotide ribosomal RNA is filed under the name uncultured prokaryote. RNAcentral describes it as "partial 16S ribosomal RNA". It matches the Rfam family "Bacterial small subunit ribosomal RNA", at positions 525 to 777 of the family's 1533-position model. The record is from RNAcentral.